AAUAUUGAAAAAAGAAGUACUCUUCUAUUUGGCUUGAUAUGAGUAAUUGUAAACAAUAUUUUUAAAAUAUAAACAUAUAAGUGUAUUGCUCAUAUUAUUAAGUGCUUAUAUUUGAGAUGAAGAAAAAAUCUUCAUGGGAUAAGUAGUUCUAGGUGAUUAUUACUGGCAAUAAAAAUUUUAUACUUCUGGAUUUUUUAUCUUAUUUUAAUUGUUAUGAUACUUGAAAUCAUGAGGAAUAGUUUCUACUAACCAGAAAAACUAAACGAAAUAUGCUAUUUUUGAAUCAUUUAAAGAUUAUAAAGAUUACUGUAUCCAGCAGAUGUUUUUCGUUGGGGCUAUCAAAACCUGUCCGAUUUUUGGGCAACAGACGGUUUAGAAUUUAUUGUCAGAAAAACUGUGGAAAAACAAAAAAAAAAUUUCGGAUUUGGGGUUGCCAGUCUCCACGCGACAAACGACGUUCAUGUAAAGGCGCGUAUCGGAUGGUUAACAAAUUGCAGCUGACAUUCUGCGUGUUCCAAAAGUUUGGAGGUCCUGUUUCCACUAGCAGCGUCCUCUUCCUCGUUUUAUGAAACUUCAGAGGCACUAUCAUGUUGGGAUAGCAAAUACUGAUUUACCAUUUCAUCUGUAUCAAUUGUGUCAACUUCGGCUUUAUCAAAACAGUGCAUCACAGUUUCUUGGGUGCUGCCAUUAUUUAUAAUCCACAAAACUUAUACUAACAGAAAGGUGACGUCUUAACUUAAUGAUUACAUGGCGUGAUCGAGCUUAGGCGUGUUGGUUUUUUCAAAUCGCGUGCAGUAGUUCUUUAAAUGCGACCUUCCUAAACUGGAGGCAUUUGAAAUGUGGAUAUUAAGAAGAAUAGUACGAAUUUCAUGAACAGAUAGAGUCGCAAAUGAAGAAGUUUUACCCAAAUUGGUAACACAAAGAGACCAUAAACAACGAUACGAAUUCCAGAGAUUUAUUAUGCAGGGAAAGAGGGAUUUAGGACGACGAAGAAUAUAAUGGGUGCGAAAAUUAAGGUAGUGGUAUAACUGCGCAUCAAACCAAUUGUUUAGAGGAAUUGUGAAUAAAAUACAAAUAGUCCUGAUGGUCGUCCGAAGAUGGCACUUUAAGAAGAACAAUAUAUUUGGAAGAAAAUCGUUUUUUGUUAAAUUUAUUUUGGAAACCUGCUCUUAUUUAUAGUGAUGCAUAUUUUAACUAUAUUAUAAAUAUAUAAUUAUUUAGUUCUUGUUAUAAUAUCUCUAAAUAUAUAUUUAGGCGCUUCGCGCGUUGUAACAUAAUUCCA
Diorhabda sublineata is the source of this 1282-nucleotide long non-coding RNA. RefSeq lists it as uncharacterized. The transcript is spliced from 2 exons. NCBI's taxonomy places the organism in Eukaryota, Metazoa, Arthropoda, Insecta, Coleoptera, Chrysomelidae. The record is from RefSeq and is a predicted model, not a curated record.